GCUUAAUUAACCUAUGUAUGGAGACUUUUGGGACACCUGUACAAUAGCAGAUACACCAAAAUGUCUUUCUAAGUCAUUUCUUUAUAGGUUACUCGAGUCAUUUUCCAAAUAGGUAUAUUUAGUUUUAGUCAAAUAUUGGGUACUUUAUACAACUCCUGGACAGCAUUAAAGUGCGCCUAUUAUGGUUUUGAAAUGUGCCUAAUUUUGUUUUAAAGGACUCAUACAAAAGAUUUACAUGCAUCCAAGGUCAAAAAACACUAACAUGCUCAUAAUUUAAACUGCAGCAUUAUCUUUUCCUGACCAAAGUCACAAACGACUGAUCCCUUCUAAAGGAUUCGUUCUAAACUCCUCCUUUCAGAGAGCAUACUAUGCUCUGAUUGACCAGAUGUCCCAGUCUGUUGUGAUUGGUCUACCGCUGUCAGUAUGAUUCAAAAAGGAAACGCCCACUACCAUAACAACUUUCAGCUCCGUCUGUCAGCGAGCAGGUGAUGAAGACCAAAGGUGGGGUUUUUUGUCACAAACCUACGUAUGUUAGUACAGGAAGUAAGUCUGGAAUCACUAACGACUCGUUUCAGCUGUUCACAAUCGCUUCCUUCUUUUGGGAAUCAAGAACUCUGUCGUGCACUUUGAUUUAAAAAUUUUGCAGACUUUUUACAAUCACAAACAGCUCUAAAACACUACAUGAAAGGUAAUAUCUGAAAAAAUAAUUGCACUUUAGAGGUGUACAGGUGCACUUUAAAGUCACUUCUGCCAAAUGAAUAAAAUGCACACUAAAAUUCAAAGAUGUCUGAUUUUUUUUAAAACCCACAAGAAACUGGUCAAGUAAGAUUAACGCAAUUAAUGCACACGUGUAUCUGGUGCUCAGGGACUUGGCCAUAACUCAUGACUCUCACCGCGGAUUUGGAUAAUUUUUUGGAAGUCUUUACUCAACACCCUGUUGCUUCCGACUAAUCAAACACUUAACCCAGUAUAACACAAAAACAUCACACACCUGCACUUUACAAAGCUGCAAUAACUUAUCAUGGAACUUGUUUUUGCUGCAACAAUACAAAUAAUACACAGUUUACAGUCCACGUCCAGUGACAGUCCACAUCCAGUGUAUUUACUGUCCACGUCCGGUGACAGUCCACAGCCAGUGUAUUUACUGUCCACGUCCAGUGACAGUCCACAGCCAGUGUAUUUACUGUCCACCUCCAGAGACUGUCCACGUCCAGAGACUGUCCAUGUCCAGUGUAUUUACUGUCCACGUCCAGUGACAGUCCACAGCCAGUGUAUUUACUGUCCACGUCCAGUGACAGUCCACAGCCAGUGUAUUUACUGUCCACCUCCAGAGACUGUCCACGUCCAGAGACUGUCCAUGUCCAGUGUAUUUACUGUCCACGUCCAGUGACAGUCCACAGCCAGUGUAUUUACUGUCCACCUCCAGAGACUGUCCACGUCCUGAGACUGUCCAUGUCCAGUGUAUUUACUGUCCACGUCCAGUGACAGUCCACCUCCAGAGACUGUCCACGUCCAGAGACUGUCCACAUCCAGUGUAUUUACUGUCCACGUCCAGGGACUGUCCCCGUCCAGUGUAUUUACUGUCCCCGUCAAGUGACUGUCCACGUCCACUGUAUUUACUGUCCACGUCCACUGAAUUUACUGUCCCCGUUCAGAGAAUGUCCACGUCCAGUGUAUUUACUGUCCUGCACUCAUCUCACACUGCUGUGUAUAGCACUUUAUGUAGUCUUGUGUACAGUUCUGUGUUGCAUCUGGUCCUGGAGAAGUGCUCCAGUGUAUACAGGCUAUACAGAGGAAUGACAAUUAUUUACGAAUGACUUGAAUUGGGAAUCAACUCUUUUUAUAGUUUUGCCCCCAAACAGCAUCUUUCUAAUCUCUGGGACAGCACUGAUGCACAAAAGCGAAGUUAUUGAAUGAACUCGAGCUACCUUCAGUAUGAAAAUGUUUCCGUUAGUUGGCUGUUGCUGUCUGCGGCUACAACGAGCACGAAAUGGAUGAUGAACCGCUGAUAAACAUCUCGAGCGGUCUGAAUCAAAAAAGCUUACUACUAAAACUCGGUGUGGUUUCAUUAUCGCUAACUUGUUGCCUCGAUUAAACGUCCCAGUAGCUAACUGACCGUUACAGAUCACCGUACAGUACGAAGUUCAACACAAGCACACGCGUCUCUUUGUAACUGUCUACGUAAAUACUUGUAGCUAGCGAGCUAACCGCUCGUGCACGAGCAACAAGUCUCAGCAAACAAGUCAUGUUUCCAGUUAGCACAUAGCUAAACAGCGGAACAACAAAGUUUGUGUCCUCCUGACGAAGCUCAGAGAAAAACAACUCACCUGUGUCGAACCUCUACCGAUGGACAGGACACCUUGCAGGCUGUGUGCGUUAUAAACAAGAAAGAAAAGGCAACGCGGGGAAAAUAUAAAUUAAACGCGAUAUUAUGAGGAAAACUGCGGUUUAGUGCGCGGCGCUGCUGCUGAAUGGCCACAGGAAAGUAUGAUGACGUCACUCCACGCGUCAUACACGCCCUCCUGCAGCCUGACUGAAGUGUUUUCCUG
Long non-coding RNA from Ictalurus punctatus (channel catfish), 2549 nucleotides. Lineage: Eukaryota; Metazoa; Chordata; Actinopteri; Siluriformes; Ictaluridae. The record is from Ensembl.